Molecule: ribosomal RNA, 1390 nt
Filed under: uncultured bacterium
Lineage: Bacteria
Description: bacterial SSU rRNA
Rfam family: Bacterial small subunit ribosomal RNA
Source: RNAcentral
AGAGUUUGAUCCUGGCUCAGGAUGAACGCUGGCGGCGUGCUUAACACAUGCAAGUCGAACGAAGCACUUUAUUUGAUUUCCUUCGGGACUGAUUAUUUUGUGACUGAGUGGCGGACGGGUGAGUAACGCGUGGGUAACCUGCCUUGUACAGGGGGAUAACAGUUGGAAACGGCUGCUAAUACCGCAUAAGCGCACGGCAUCGCAUGAUGCAGUGUGAAAAACUCCGGUGGUAUAAGAUGGACCCGCGUUGGAUUAGCUGGUUGGUGGGGUAACGGCCCACCAAGGCGACGAUCCAUAGCCGGCCUGAGAGGGUGAACGGCCACAUUGGGACUGAGACACGGCCCAGACUCCUACGGGAGGCAGCAGUGGGGAAUAUUGCACAAUGGGGGAAACCCUGAUGCAGCGACGCCGCGUGAAGGAAGAAGUAUCUCGGUAUGUAAACUUCUAUCAGCAGGGAAGAUAAUGACGGUACCUGACUAAGAAGCCCCGGCUAACUACGUGCCAGCAGCCGCGGUAAUACGUAGGGGGCAAGCGUUAUCCGGAUUUACUGGGUGUAAAGGGAGCGUAGACGGUGUGGCAAGUCUGAUGUGAAAGGCAUGGGCUCAACCCGUGGACUGCAUUGGAAACUGUCAUACUAGAGUGUCGGAGGGGUAAGCGGAAUUCCUAGUGUAGCGGUGAAAUGCGUAGAUAUUAGGAGGAACACCAGUGGCGAAGGCGGCCUACUGGGCACCAACUGACGCUGAGGCUCGAAAGUGUGGGUAGCAAACAGGAUUAGAUACCCUGGUAGUCCACACCGUAAACGAUGAUUACUAGGUGUUGGAGGAUUGACCCCUUCAGUGCCGCAGUUAACACAAUAAGUAAUCCACCUGGGGAGUACGACCGCAAGGUUGAAACUCAAAGGAAUUGACGGGGACCCGCACAAGCGGAGGAACAUGUGGUUUAAUUCGAUGAUACGCGAGGAACCUUACCCGGGCUUAAAUUGCAAAUGAAUUAUGGGGAAACCCAUAGGCCGUAAGGCAUUUGUGAAGGUGCUGCAUGGUUGUCGUCAGCUCGUGCCGUGAGGUGUCGGCUUAAGUGCCAUAACGAGCGCAACCCUUAUCUUCAGUUACUAACAGGUCAUGCUGAGGACUCUGGAGAGACUGCCGUCGUAAGAUGUGAGGAAGGUGGGGAUGACGUCAAAUCAGCACGGCCCUUACGUCCGGGGCUACACACGUGUUACAAUGGGGGGUACAGAAGGCCGCUACCUGGUGACAGGAUGCCAAUCCCAAAAACCUCUCUCAGUUCGGAUCGAAGUCUGCAACCCGACUUCGUGAAGCUGGAUUCGCUAGUAAUCGCGCAUCAGCCAUGGCGCGGUGAAUACGAACCCGGGCCUUGUACACACCGCCCGUCA